GCCCGGGUGGUGAAAUCGGUAGACACAGCGGACUUAAAAUCCGCCGCCUCUCGAAAGAGGGCGUACGGGUUCGAUGCCCGUCUCGGGCACCA
RNAcentral lists this transfer RNA (92 nucleotides) under Rhizobacter sp. Its description in RNAcentral is "tRNA-Leu". It matches the Rfam family "tRNA". Rfam says of the family: Transfer RNA (tRNA) molecules are approximately 80 nucleotides in length. Their secondary structure includes four short double-helical elements and three loops (D, anti-codon, and T loops). Lineage: Bacteria; Pseudomonadati; Pseudomonadota; Betaproteobacteria; Burkholderiales; Sphaerotilaceae. The record is from RNAcentral.